UAUGUGAUCGUCUCUCGCAUAUCAAUAAGCGGAGGAAAAGAAACUAACAAGGAUUCCCCUAGUAACGGCGAGUGAAGCGGGAAGAGCUCAAAUUUGAAAUCUUAAAGGGUUUCCCUUUACGAAUUGUAGUUUAAAGAAGUGUUUUCUGUUGAGGUUUUGGUAAAAGUUCUUUGGAAUAGGACAUCAUAGAGGGCGAGAAUCCCGUAUUUGACCUUUACUUUCAACUUUGUGAUACACUUUCAAAGAGUCGGAUUGUUUGGGAAUGCAGUCCAAAAUGGGUGGUAAAUUUCAUCUAAAGCUAAAUAUUGGCGAGAGACCGAUAGCGAACAAGUACCGUGAGGGAAAGAUGAAAAGAACUUUGAAAAGAGAGUUAAACAGUACGUGAAAUUGUCAAAAGGGAAGCGUUUGACACCAGUGUUGUUUUUCUGAAAAUCAAUUAAAGAACUGUUUAUGCUAAGCUGUUUAGACUUUAUCAGCUAUCUGUUUAGUUUUGAGCUUUUCUUUAAUGCACUUUUCAGUUAACAAGUCAACAUCAAUUUCUUUUGCUGUAAAAAAGCUUGAGGAAGGUGGCUUGAGAUUCGUCUUAAGUGUUUAUAGCCUCUUGCCUAUGCAGUCGGAGAGAUUGAGGUCUGCAGCGUAGAUCCUUCGGGGCUAAAUGCAUUUGUGCUAAGUUAUAGCAUUUUAUAGACAACUUGUUGACUAUGAUUUGUCUUGUAGCUUACUCGCUUAUGUUAUUUUACCUACGCUUAGGAUGUUGAAGACUCUACAGAGAU
This 773-nucleotide ribosomal RNA is filed under the name uncultured Neocallimastigales. RNAcentral's name for it is "partial large subunit ribosomal RNA". It matches the Rfam family "Eukaryotic large subunit ribosomal RNA", at positions 24 to 632 of the family's 3401-position model. The record is from RNAcentral. Lineage: Eukaryota; Fungi; Neocallimastigomycota; Neocallimastigomycetes; Neocallimastigales.